This is a non-coding RNA of Gossypium arboreum, 106 nucleotides long. The record is from Rfam. NCBI's taxonomy places the organism in Eukaryota, Viridiplantae, Streptophyta, Magnoliopsida, Malvales, Malvaceae.
AAUCAAUGAUGUAGGCAUUUCUAAAUCAGCGUUAUAAAACGCUCUUAAGCUUCGUGAAAAGUUUCUCCCUUUAACUGUUUAAACAUAAAAACCUCCCUUAUUAGCU